UUUCUCGUCUGGAGAAACUUCGCCGAGCGAGUGCCUCUGGAAAGGCCCUGCAUGUAAAUCGCACUCCUUCUCGGGAAUGAAAAAAAAGAGAAGAACCCCCUGGCUUCGACUUCGGAAAAUUGAAACCUUUCCACACAGCUUUGACGCACUUGGUGAAGCUAUUGGCUCCUUCAUCCUGCACUUUGGCGUCGGGGUCGUCUACACAAAUGCGGCGGGCGGCUUGAAAGCUGUUCAUGCGUUUUUGCAGCAAAGAACCCACUCGAAGUGCAUCGAGGCGGAAACAUUGAUCGCGCCCUCUACUGAAGGAGCAGUCACUCGGCAACGAGGUGGAGCGCAUGGUUUUGCCAAUUGUGGGAAAGUACGCCCCUCGGGAGCACACGUGCAGAAGGAGGCUGUGGGUAAAAGCUGCUCGCAGACGGCAGCUUGACAAAGGCCCACAGCCCCCCCUACAGGAAACGAGAGCAUCCUCAACACCAAAUUCGGAACGUGGGCCUACGAAGGAACCGAACAUGUCCUGCAGAACGCGUAUUAGCACGUCGCGGGCCGCUCCCACGUCGGGACCGACAGGCCUAGCCUGCCAGCCGCAUCGUGGGCCUGCUGAGAAGAUGCGGACGUAAAUUUGUGCAGGUGGCUGAUGAAGACAAGAAAGUAAGGCUUUUUGACGUGAAGAGAGAAAGAUCGAAACAUGAAUGGUGGAAAAUCGCACCGGGGUGCUCCCCGCCGGCAGCACUCGGUCCUUCGUGAAGCCUUCAGUCCACAACCCCACGAGCCGUAGCCACCCAGGGUGCUAUCUUGACUAGAUCGAGAUGGUCCCUGGACUCAGCGCCGGACAGCAAAGUGUGCCACUGUUUGGCUUACGUGGUAUCGAUUUUGUUGACUGACAUGCCCAUGUGGCAUGGUAAAGCGUGCGUGGUGAAGAAAACUUCACAAAAGACCAACCGUUUCGCAAAGUACAAGGUGAGGAGCAAUGCUCAGAAGUUCGACUGUGCCACCUAGUCGACAUGCUGAUCUGAUUUUUUAAAAUAAAAUUCUCUUCGCA
Long non-coding RNA from Dermacentor albipictus, 1039 nucleotides. RefSeq lists it as uncharacterized. Lineage: Eukaryota; Metazoa; Arthropoda; Arachnida; Ixodida; Ixodidae. The record is from RefSeq and is a predicted model, not a curated record.